This 562-nucleotide ribosomal RNA is filed under the name Tettigonia viridissima. Its description in RNAcentral is "SSU rRNA". It matches the Rfam family "Eukaryotic small subunit ribosomal RNA", at positions 717 to 1163 of the family's 1831-position model. Lineage: Eukaryota; Metazoa; Arthropoda; Insecta; Orthoptera; Tettigoniidae. The record is from RNAcentral.
AUGGUUCGUGGGACGUCCUGCCGGUGGUGGCGAGCCGAAAGCGUGCGGCCGCCGUGGUUAGCCCACGUGCGGUUCCUGCGCGCCGUAGGCGGACCCCGAUGAAAUCCUACCGCGGUGCUCUUCAUCGAGUGUCGAGGUGGGCCGGCACGUUUACUUUGAACAAAUUAGAGUGCUUAAAGCAGGCCGGCUGCGCCUGAAUACUGUGUGCAUGGAAUAAUGGAAUAGGACCUCGGUUCUAUUUUGUUGGUUUUCGGAACCCGAGGUAAUGAUUAAUAGGGACAGGCGGGGGCAUUCGUAUUGCGACGUUAGAGGUGAAAUUCUUGGAUCGUCGCAAGACGGACCGAAGCGAAAGCAUUUGCCAAGUAUGUUUUCAUUAAUCAAGAACGAAAGUUAGAGGUUCGAAGGCGAUCAGAUACCGCCCUAGUUCUAACCAUAAACGAUGCCAGCUAGCGAUCCGCCGAAGUUCCUCCGAUGACUCGGCGGGCAGCUCCCGGGAAACCAAAGCUUUUGGGUUCCGGGGGAAUAUGGUUGCAAGCUGAAACUUAAAGGAAUUGACGGAAGG